This is a long non-coding RNA of Melanotaenia boesemani (Boeseman's rainbowfish), 1059 nucleotides long. RefSeq lists it as uncharacterized. NCBI's taxonomy places the organism in Eukaryota, Metazoa, Chordata, Actinopteri, Atheriniformes, Melanotaeniidae. The transcript has 3 exons. The record is from RefSeq and is a predicted model, not a curated record.
AGUGCUAAUGUAAAGGCCUUGGAGAGUUCGUGAAAGGCACAGUCCACUCAGUCAUUGCAGAUAAUUUAGGAGCCCACGGGAUAGCAGGAUUCACUGAAAGCUUCUCUGGUGCCUACUUCUGCAGGUUUUGUACAGAUGUCAAGUCCCAUCCAUCUGAGAGUUGUCUUUGGCACAGAUGACGCCAGGAAGCUUACCCUCAUAUCAGGGAUACCAGCAUCUGUGGAUCAGCUUGUUCUUGAGAUAAAGACUGUUUUUGGACUUGAACAGCAGUUCAGGCUUCAGUAUAAAGAUGCAGACUUUGGCAAUGAAUUUGUCAAUCUCAAUUCAACUAGUGACAUAAGAGACAAGGAUACUCUGAAAGUGGUAUUUUUUGCAUGUGAAGAAACUAGCUCCAGCAUUCCAGGGACUCCACCUUGCACCCCAGUGGCUUCUUCCACUACAUCCCACAGCUCUGUGAACCCCCUCAGCUCUCCAUCCUCGGACAGGGACGGAUUUUCUUCUGACCACUCGUUUGGCAGCGCAGACACCGUCAUUUUGGAUCCAGCUCCAGAAUCAAGAACCUCUUCUUGGCCUCCACUCUUCAUUGUUCCCUGUUUUUCCUAUUUUGCUGAAAUACAACUCCAAAGAGCAAAUGCAGAAUUCAGAGCAAAUGGCACUCUUCUUACUCCUCCCCCAAAACUAUGAAUGGAUAUCCUGGAAGGUAUGGCGGAACAGAUCUUUAAAUACACAGCAUACCUGAGUGUUUCCCAAAUUGAAGAGGCUGCUGAGGUCUUAGUGCAUACACAUCCUUGUUUGAGGGAAAGAGGAACUCUUGCUGGCCAUGAAGGUUGGAAACAGUAUUUAAAGACAAAAGUUGCCAAUUUUCGCACAAAACUGAGCAAAAUUGGACACCCUGAAGUCAGUGUAAACUCCCUCAAGAACAAGCGCAAAGGUCAAGAAAAGGCGGCCGCAAAUAUCAAAAAACCAAGAAAAGCAGAGGUUAAUUUUCUCCCAUCAUUCCCUAGUGGUGAAACAGGAGAGAGUCUUGAGAAUGAAAGAGUGGCUCUCUUGUCAGAGGUG